This 445-nucleotide ribosomal RNA is filed under the name uncultured bacterium. Its description in RNAcentral is "partial 16S ribosomal RNA". It matches the Rfam family "Bacterial small subunit ribosomal RNA", at positions 354 to 796 of the family's 1533-position model. The record is from RNAcentral.
GUGAGGAAUAUUGGUCAAUGGACGGAAGUCUGAACCAGCCAUGCCGCGUGCAGGAAUAAGGUCCUAUGGAUUGUAAACUGCUUUUAUUCGGGAAUAAACCUCUUUACGUGUAGGGAGCUGAAGGUACCGAAGGAAUAAGCACCGGCUAACUCCGUGCCAGCAGCCGCGGUAAUACGGAGGGUGCAAGCGUUAUCCGGAAUCAUUGGGUUUAAAGGGUCCGCAGGCGGGCUAUCAAGUCAGAGGUGAAAUCCCACAGCUUAACUGUGGAACUGCCUUUGAAACUGAUGGUCUUGAAUUAAGUGGGCGUUGGCGGAAUAUGACAUGUAGCGGUGAAAUGCAUAGAUAUGUCAUGGAACACUGAAAGCGAAGGCAGCUAACGAUACUUAUAUUGACGCUCAUGGACGAAAGCGUGGGUAGCGAACAGGAUUAGAUACCCCGGUAGUCC